Cucumis melo (muskmelon) is the source of this 291-nucleotide long non-coding RNA. RefSeq lists it as uncharacterized. The transcript has 3 exons. NCBI's taxonomy places the organism in Eukaryota, Viridiplantae, Streptophyta, Magnoliopsida, Cucurbitales, Cucurbitaceae. The record is from RefSeq and is a predicted model, not a curated record.
GGGACGUCCUGGACCAAGUAACUGCUGCAGCGGGGGAUUUCUUCAGUAGGGGCUUGAGCACUGCAACCUCUCUCUAGGUUAGGACCUCGUCGCUUGGAAAGCGUACUGCCUCGCGGUUAGGACUCGUCAAGUAAAUCUCCAGGUAGAGGACGAGGCAAGGGCAAGGGCAAGCUGGCGAGCGACCCGAAGUGACCGUGGAGGGCCAUAGGGACUACUGCUUCCGCUUAUCCUUAUUUUAGACUUUCGUAUUUGAGUUUGAGUACUUUUCAUUACUUAGCAUCUUUUUAUGUA